RNAcentral lists this ribosomal RNA (911 nucleotides) under uncultured bacterium. Its description in RNAcentral is "bacterial SSU rRNA". It matches the Rfam family "Bacterial small subunit ribosomal RNA", at positions 8 to 916 of the family's 1533-position model. The record is from RNAcentral.
AGAGUUUGAUCAUGGCUCAGAACGAACGCUGGCGGCGCGCCUAAUACAUGCAAGUCGAGCGAGAAGGUGUAGCAAUACACUUGUAAAGCGGCGAACGGGUGAGGAAUACAUGGGUAACCUACCGUCGAGUGGGGAAUAACCAGCCGAAAGGCUGGCUAAUACCGCGUACGCUUCCGGAUCCUCGGGUUCGGAAGGAAAGCGAUACCGUGGGUAUCGCGCUCUUCGAUGGGCUCAUGUCCUAUCAGCUUGUUGGUAGGGUAACGGCCUACCAAGGCUUUGACGGGUAGCUGGUCUGAGAGGACGAUCAGCCACACUGGCACUGCGACACGGGCCAGACUCCUACGGGGGGCAGCAGUAAGGAAUAUUGCGCAAUGGGCGACAGCCUGACGCAGCGACGCCGCGUGGGGGAUGAAGGUCUUCGGAUUGUAAACCCCUUUCGGGAGGGAAGAUGGGGCGGGCAACCGCUCGGACGGUACCUCCAGAAGCAGCCACGGCCAACUUCGUGCCAGCAGCCGCGGUAAUACGAAGGUGGCAAGCGUUGUUCGGAUUCACUGGGCGUACAGGGUGUGUAGGCGGUUUGGUAAGCCUUUUGUGAAAGCUUCGGGCCUAACCCGGAAAGCGCAGAGGGGACUGCCAGGCUAGAGGACGGGAGAGGAGCGCGGAAUUCCCGGUGUAGCGGUGAAAUGCGUAGAGAUCGGGAGGAAGGCCGGUGGCGAAGGCGGCGCUCUGGAACGUAUCUGACGCUGAGACACGAAAGCGUGGGGAGCAAACAGGAUUAGAUACCCUGGUAGUCCACGCCCUAAACUAUGGAUACUAAGUGUCGGCGGGUUACCGCCGGUGCCGCAGCUAACGCAGUAAGUAUCCCGCCUGGGAAGUACGGCCGCAAGGUUGAAACUUAAAUGAAUUGACGG